UGCAGUCGAGCGGUAACAGGAAGUAGCUUGCUACUUCGCUGACGAGCGGCGGACGGGUGAGUAAUGCCUGGGAAUAUGCCUUGAUGUGGGGGAUAACUAUUGGAAACGAUAGCUAAUACCGCAUAAUGCCUACGGGCCAAAGAGGGGGAUCUUCGGACCUCUCGCGUCAAGAUUAGCCCAGGUGGGAUUAGCUAGUUGGUGGGGUAAAGGCUCACCAAGGCGACGAUCCCUAGCUGGUCUGAGAGGAUGAUCAGCCACACUGGAACUGAGACACGGUCCAGACUCCUACGGGAGGCAGCAGUGGGGAAUAUUGCACAAUGGGGGAAACCCUGAUGCAGCCAUGCCGCGUGUAUGAAGAAGGCCUUCGGGUUGUAAAGUACUUUCAGCAGUGAGGAAGGUGGUANUGUUAAUAGCACUAUCAUUUGACGUUAGCUGCAGAAGAAGCACCGGCUAACUCCGUGCCAGCAGCCGCGGUAAUACGGAGGGUGCGAGCGUUAAUCGGAAUUACUGGGCGUAAAGCGCAUGCAGGCGGUCUGUUAAGCAAGAUGUGAAAGCCCGGGGCUCAACCUCGGAACAGCAUUUUGAACUGGCAGACUAGAGUCUUGUAGAGGGGGGUAGAAUUUCAGGUGUAGCGGUGAAAUGCGUAGAGAUCUGAAGGAAUACCGGNGGCGAANGGNGGCCCCCUGGACAAAGACUGACGCUCAGAUGCGAAAGCGUGGGGAGCAAACAGNAUUAGAUACC
RNAcentral lists this ribosomal RNA (741 nucleotides) under Vibrio sp. N23. RNAcentral describes it as "bacterial SSU rRNA". It matches the Rfam family "Bacterial small subunit ribosomal RNA", at positions 56 to 786 of the family's 1533-position model. The record is from RNAcentral. Lineage: Bacteria; Pseudomonadati; Pseudomonadota; Gammaproteobacteria; Vibrionales; Vibrionaceae.